GUGAAUCAUCGAAUCUUUGAACGCAAAUUGCGCCUUUUUCGGAAGGCAUGUCUGUUUGAGGGCACCAUUUAACAAAUAAUGUCCAGCGUUUUGUGUCUAUAUGACUUGCUCACGUUGGUGAGCUUUCCAAGAAUUUUAAAUUUUUGGUGGCGCAUAAUGAACAGGGUGACGGUGUUUUUAAGUUCAAGUGGAGUAAAAUCUUUGCUUGGUUUGUUAAAAGCGUAAUCGCGCAAUGGGAGUGGAAUUUUUUUA
Molecule: unclassified non-coding RNA, 252 nt
Filed under: Paraglomus occultum
Lineage: Eukaryota; Fungi; Glomeromycota; Glomeromycetes; Paraglomerales; Paraglomeraceae
Description: partial contains 5.8S ribosomal RNA and internal transcribed spacer 2
Rfam family: 5.8S ribosomal RNA (bases 1-65)
Source: RNAcentral